AGUGAACGCUGGCGGUAGGCCUAACACAUGCAAGUCGAACGGCAGCACAGUAAGAGCUUGCUCUUACGGGUGGCGAGUGGCGGACGGGUGAGGAAUACAUCGGAAUCUACUUUUUCGUGGGGGAUAACGUAGGGAAACUUACGCUAAUACCGCAUACGACCUACGGGUGAAAGCAGGGGAUCUUCGGACCUUGCGCGAUUGAAUGAGCCGAUGUCGGAUUAGCUAGUUGGCGGGGUAAAGGCCCACCAAGGCGACGAUCCGUAGCUGGUCUGAGAGGAUGAUCAGCCACACUGGAACUGAGAAACGGUCCAGACUCCUAAGGGAGGCAGCAGUGGGGAAUAUUGGACAAUGGGCGCAAGCCUGAUCCAGCCAUACCGCGUGGGUGAAGAAGGCCUUCGGGUUGUAAAGCCCUUUUGUUGGGAAAGAAAAGCAGCAGGUUAAUACCCAGCUGUUCUGACGGUACCAAAAGAAUAAGCACCGGCUAACUUCGUG
This 492-nucleotide ribosomal RNA is filed under the name uncultured bacterium. Its description in RNAcentral is "partial 16S ribosomal RNA". It matches the Rfam family "Bacterial small subunit ribosomal RNA", at positions 29 to 507 of the family's 1533-position model. The record is from RNAcentral.